CUGCAUGGCUGUCGUCAGCUCGUGUCGUGAGAUGUUGGGUUAAGUCCCGCAACGAGCGCAACCCUUGUCAUCAGUUGCCGCAUUGAGUUGGGCACUCUGAUGAGACUGCCGGUGACAAACCGGAGGAAGGUGGGGAUGACGUCAAGUCCUCAUGGCCCUUAUAGGUGGGGCUACACACGUCAUACAAUGGCCGGUACAGAGGGCAAGCCAACCCGCGAGGGGGAGCCAAUCCAAAAAAGCCGGUCGUAGUCCGGAUCGCAGUCUGCAACUCGACUGCGUGAAGUCGGAAUCGCUAGUAAUCGCGGAUCAGAACGCCGCGGUGAAUACGUUCCCGGGUCUUGUACACACCGCCCGUCACACCAUGGGAGCGGGUUCUGCCAGAAGUAGUUAGCCUAACCGCAAGG
RNAcentral lists this ribosomal RNA (404 nucleotides) under uncultured beta proteobacterium. Its description in RNAcentral is "bacterial SSU rRNA". It matches the Rfam family "Bacterial small subunit ribosomal RNA", at positions 1041 to 1446 of the family's 1533-position model. Lineage: Bacteria; Pseudomonadati; Pseudomonadota; Betaproteobacteria. The record is from RNAcentral.